CGACGGGAGGGGAUGGCUCCGCGGCCCAUCAGGUAGACGGCGGGGUGACGGCCCACCGUGCCGACAACGGGUAGCCGGGUUGAGAGACCGACCGGCCAGAUUGGGACCGAGACACGGCCCAGACUCCUACGGGAGGCAGCAGUGGGGAAUCUUGCGCAAUGGGGGGAACCCUGACGCAGCGACGCCGCGUGCGGGACGGAGGCCUUCGGGUCGUAAACCGCUUUCAGCAGGGAAGAGUCAAGACUGUACCUGCAGAAGAAGCCCCGGCUAACUACGUGCCAGCAGCCGCGGUAAUACGUAGGGGGCGAGCGUUAUCCGGAUUCAUUGGGCGUAAAGCGCGCGUAGGCGCCCCGGCAGGCCGGGGGUCGAAGCGGGGGGCUCAACCCCCCGAAGCCCCCGGAACCUCCGCGGCUUGGGUCCGGUAGGGGAGGGUGGAACACCCGGUGUAGCGGUGGAAUGCGCAGAUAUCGGGUGGAACACCGGUGGCGAAGGCGGCCCUCUGGGCCGAGACCGACGCUGAGGCGCGAAAGCUGGGGGAGCGAACAGGAUUAGAUACCCUGGUAGUCCCAGCCGUAAACGAUGGACGCUAGGUGUGGGGGGACGAUCCCCCCGUGCCGCAGCCAACGCAUUAAGCGUCCCGCCUGGGGAGUACGGCCGCAAGGCUAAAACUCAAAGGAAUUGACGGGGGCCCGCACAAGCAGCGGAGCAUGUGGCUUAAUUCGAAGCAACGCGAAGAACCUUACCAGGGCUUGACAUAUGGGUGAAGCGGGGGAGACCCCGUGGCCGAGAGGAGCCCAUACAGGUGGUGCAUGGCUGUCGUCAGCUCGUGUCGUGAGAUGUUGGGUUAAGUCCCGCAACGAGCGCAACCCCCGCCGCGUGUUGCCAUCGGGUGAUGCCGGGAACCCAUGCGGGACCGCCGCCGUCAAGGCGGAGGAGGGCGGGGACGACGUCAAGUCAUCAUGCCCCUUAUGCCCUGGGCUGCACACGUGCUACAAUGGCCGGUACAGAGGGAUGCCACCCCGCGAGGGGGAGCGGAUCCCGGAAAGCCGGCCCCAGUUCGGAUUGGGGGCUGCAACCCGCCCCCAUGAAGUCGGAGUUGCUAGUAAUCGCGGAUCAGCAUGCCGCGGUGAAUGCGUUCCCGGGCCUUGCACA
This 1152-nucleotide ribosomal RNA is filed under the name uncultured bacterium. RNAcentral's name for it is "bacterial SSU rRNA". It matches the Rfam family "Bacterial small subunit ribosomal RNA", at positions 213 to 1387 of the family's 1533-position model. The record is from RNAcentral.